Molecule: non-coding RNA, 73 nt
Organism: Potamilus streckersoni
Lineage: Eukaryota; Metazoa; Mollusca; Bivalvia; Unionida; Unionidae
Source: the annotation of a GenBank genome assembly
GCUCCGGUAGCCUAGUGGUUAGAACGUCCGCCUCGGUUGCGAGAGGUCGUCGGUUCGAUCCCCGAUCGAGUCA